GCCGGCCUCUCUGCUUGCCCUCCCCGCCCCAGAGGGGGGGUGGGAGGCCUUGAGAUUGUCCCCGGUACCCCAAGGACGCCGAGGUUACGGGAAGUUUGGGGACUCGGACUUGGGAUGGAGUGAAUAUCAGACAGCUACAAGGAAGGAUUUAGAAGCAGGCCACUUGGCCACUUGGGAUUUACUAGCCAGCAGACUCCCUGGCUAGUUGAGUGUGUGAGUGUUUGCCUGUAACUGUACCUGUACACAUGCCUACUUGGUGGCCUAGGAGGCCAGAAGAAGGUGGUCAGAUCUCCUGGAACUGGAGUUAUAGGCGGUUGUGGGCCACCAUCUGGGUCCUGGGAUACUGAACCUGUGUCCUCUGCAAGAGCAGCAAGUGUUCUUAACGACUGAGCCAUUUCUUCGGCCCUCUUUCUUCAAUUCUCCAUUGUCCUGCUAGAAGGCAGAAUGACUUCGUCGACAACCUCAUGCAGGAGUGGAACCAAUCUCCUUCCCCGUGGGUGGCUGGGCAUGUAGCUUCCUCUUUCUGUCUUGAGUGUUGCCAAGGAAAAGGGGCUGCAGAUCUCCCCUGGAUUGCAGAGUGGGAGACAAAGCAAGGGCCCCAGAAGAGCUCUCUGGAUGCUCCUGGCUACUGAAUCAACCGCAGAGCGCCCUCUGGGGCUGGGGUCUGACACUGUUACCCCUCCUGGCCUUAUGGACGCAGAUCCAGCUCAGCCUCACAAUGAAUUCAAUGGUUCCUGAAAGCUUGUGCUCGGCCUGCCCACCUUCAUCCACAGGGCAACAUGGGAGCCAGACUUCUCUCUGUGGUAUAAGGCCCCAGUAUCCUGAGUUCUUCCAGGAGAAGGAAGAUGGCGAAGACAGUGAGGGAAGAGAGCAGACGUCUGACUCCGGGGUGCUUAUCUGUGUGGAAGAGACCGGUUCUUCCUGACUGGCUUCAUGUCCCUCAAGGUCAGGCUAGUGCUGGUAUGGGGACCUGAGUGACUGAGGGCAAAACAGGUCUCUGGGCUUCUGUUUGUUUGUUUUGUUUUUAAAUUAACUAAUUUCUAUUUCAUGUG
This 1052-nucleotide long non-coding RNA is filed under the name Mus musculus (house mouse). RNAcentral describes it as "frizzled class receptor 10, opposite strand". Lineage: Eukaryota; Metazoa; Chordata; Mammalia; Rodentia; Muridae. The record is from RNAcentral.